Molecule: transfer RNA, 31 nt
Filed under: Citrullus mucosospermus
Lineage: Eukaryota; Viridiplantae; Streptophyta; Magnoliopsida; Cucurbitales; Cucurbitaceae
Description: partial tRNA-Leu
Source: RNAcentral
AUAGUNAGUGGUUCAAGUCCCUCUAUCCCCA